CAGUAGCCACGGUAAUACGAGGGGGGCAAGCGUUGUUCGGAAUUACUGGGCGUAAAGCGCACGUAGGCGGAUCGAUCAGUCAGGGGUGAAAUCCCAGGGCUCAACCCUGGAACUGCCUUUGAUACUGUCGAUCUGGAGUAUGGAAGAGGUGAGUGGAAUUCCGAGUGUAGAGGUGAAAUUCGUAGAUAUUCGGAGGAACACCAGUGGCGAAGGCGGCUAACUGGUCCAUAACUGACGCUGAGGUGCGAAAGCGUGGGGAGCAAACAGGAUUAGAUACCCCAGUAGUCCCUGUCUCUUAUAA
This 301-nucleotide ribosomal RNA is filed under the name uncultured bacterium. RNAcentral describes it as "partial 16S ribosomal RNA". It matches the Rfam family "Bacterial small subunit ribosomal RNA", at positions 509 to 809 of the family's 1533-position model. The record is from RNAcentral.